RNAcentral lists this ribosomal RNA (492 nucleotides) under uncultured bacterium. RNAcentral describes it as "partial 16S ribosomal RNA". It matches the Rfam family "Bacterial small subunit ribosomal RNA", at positions 29 to 507 of the family's 1533-position model. The record is from RNAcentral.
AGUGAACGCUGGCGGUAUGCCUAACACAUGUAAGUCGAACGGCAGCACAGUAAGAGCUUGCUCUUACGGGUGGCGAGUGGCGGACGGGUGAGGAAUACAUCGGAAUCUAAUUUUUCGUGGGGGACAACGUAGGGAAACUUACGCUAAUACCGCAUACGACCUACGGGUGAAAGCAGGGGAUCUUCGGACCUUGGGCGAUUGAAUGAGCCGAUGUCGGAUUAGCUAGUUGGCGGGGUAAAGGCCCACCAAGGCGACGAUCCGUAGCUGGUCUGAGAGGAUGAUCAGCCACACUGGAACUGAGACACGGUCCAGACUCCUACGGGAGGCAGCAGUGGGGAAUCUUGCGCAAUGGGCGCAAGCCUGAUCCAGCCAUACCGCGUGAGUGAAGAAGGCCUUCGGGUUGUAAAACCCUUUUGUUAGGAAAGAAAAGCAGCAGGAUAAUACCCCGCUGUUCUGACGGUACCCAAAGAAUAAGCACCGGCUAACUUCGUG